This 484-nucleotide ribosomal RNA is filed under the name uncultured bacterium. Its description in RNAcentral is "partial 16S ribosomal RNA". It matches the Rfam family "Bacterial small subunit ribosomal RNA", at positions 30 to 507 of the family's 1533-position model. The record is from RNAcentral.
AUUGAACGCUGGCGGCAGGCCUAACACAUGCAAGUCGAGCGGAUGAAGGGAGCUUGCUCCUGGAUUCAGCGGCGGACGGGUGAGUAAUGCCUAGGAAUCUGCCUGGUAGUGGGGGAUAACGUCCGGAAACGGGCGCUAAUACCGCAUACGUCCUGAGGGAGAAAGUGGGGGAUCUUCGGACCUCACGCUAUCAGAUGAGCCUAGGUCGGAUUAGCUAGUUGGUGGGGUAAAGGCCUACCAAGGCGACGAUCCGUAACUGGUCUGAGAGGAUGAGCAGUCACACUGGAACUGAGACACGGUCCAGACUCCUACGGGAGGCAGCAGUGGGGAAUAUUGGACAAUGGGCGAAAGCCUGAUCCAGCCAUGCCGCGUGUGUGAAGAAGGUCUUCGGAUUGUAAAGCACUUUAAGUUGGGAGGAAGGGCAGUAAGUUAAUACCUUGCUGUUUUGACGUUACCAGCAGAAUAAGCACCGGCUAACUUCGUG